Molecule: ribosomal RNA, 874 nt
Filed under: uncultured bacterium
Lineage: Bacteria
Description: bacterial SSU rRNA
Rfam family: Bacterial small subunit ribosomal RNA
Source: RNAcentral
GUGCCUAACACAUGCAAGUCGAACGAAGCACUGUGGAUAGAGACUUCGGUCAAUUGAAGCUUUGACUUAGUGGCGGACGGGUGAGUAACGCGUGAGGAACCUGCCUUUCAGUGGGGGACAACAGUUGGAAACGACUGCUAAUACCGCAUAAUGUGUUUUGGGGGCAUCCCCGGAACACCAAAGAUUUAUUGCUGAAAGAUGGCCUCGCGUCUGAUUAGAUAGUUGGUGGGGUAACGGCCUACCAAGUCGACGAUCAGUAGCCGGACUGAGAGGUUGAACGGCCACAUUGGGACUGAGAUACGGCCCAGACUCCUACGGGAGGCAGCAGUGGGGAAUAUUGCACAAUGGGGGAAACCCUGAUGCAGCAACGCCGCGUGAAGGAUGACGGUUUUCGGAUUGUAAACUUCUUUUCUUAGUGACGAAGACAGUGACGGUAGCUAAGGAAUAAGCAUCGGCUAACUACGUGCCAGCAGCCGCGGUAAUACGUAGGAUGCAAGCGUUAUCCGGAUUUACUGGGUGUAAAGGGAGCGCAGGCGGGACUGCAAGUUGGAUGUGAAAUACCGUGGCUUAACCACGGAACUGCAUCCAAAACUGUAGUUCUUGAGUGAAGUAGAGGCAAGCGGAAUUCCGAGUGUAGCGGUGAAAUGCGUAGAUAUUCGGAGGAACACCAGUGGCGAAGGCGGCUUGCUGGGCUUUAACUGACGCUGAGGCUCGAAAGUGUGGGGAGCAAACAGGAUUAGAUACCCUGGUAGUCCACACUGUAAACGAUGAUAGCUAGGUGUGGGGGGUCUGACCCCUUCCGUGCCGGAGUUAACGCAAUAAGCUAUCCACCUGGGGAGUACGACCGCAAGGUUGAAACUCAAAUGAAUUGACG